UUGUUUCAGCAUCACAUAUACUAAAAUUGGAAUAAUACAGAGAAGAUUAACAUGGCCCCUGAACAAGGAUGACACACAAAUUCAUGAAGGAAAGGCCAUACAU
This is a small nuclear RNA of Suricata suricatta (meerkat), 103 nucleotides long. The record is from Ensembl. Lineage: Eukaryota; Metazoa; Chordata; Mammalia; Carnivora; Herpestidae.